Molecule: ribosomal RNA, 500 nt
Filed under: uncultured bacterium
Lineage: Bacteria
Description: partial 16S ribosomal RNA
Rfam family: Bacterial small subunit ribosomal RNA
Source: RNAcentral
AUUGAACGCUGGCGGAAUGCUUUACACAUGCAAGUCGAACGGCAGCACGGACUUCGGUCUGGUGGCGAGUGGCGAACGGGUGAGUAACGUAUCGGAACGUGCCCAGUCGUGGGGGAUAACGUAGUGAAAAUUACGCUAAUACCGCAUACGAUCUAUGGAUGAAAGCGGGGGAUCGCAAGACCUCGCGCGAUUGGAGCGGCCGAUAUCAGAUUAGGUAGUUGGUGGGGUAAAGGCCCACCAAGCCAACGAUCUGUAGCUGGUCUGAGAGGACGAACAGCCACACUGGAACUGAGACACGGACCAGACUCCUACGGGAGGCAGCAGUGGGGAAUUUUGGACAAUGGGCGAAAGCCUGAUCCAGCCAUUCCGCGUGCAGGAUGAAGGCCCUCGGGUUGUAAACUGCUUUUGUACAGAACGAAAAGGUUUCUACUAAUACUAGGAGCUCAUGACGGUACUGUAAGAAUAAGCACCGGCUAACUACGUGCCAGCCGCCGCCGUAA